AGUGAACGCUGGCGGCGUGCUUCACACAUGCAAGUCGAACGAGAACGGAAUAUAGCUUGCUAUAUUUGUCAGCUAAGUGGCGCACGGGUGAGUAAUGUAUAGAUAACCUGCCCUUAAGAAAGGAAUAACAGUUUGAAACGACUGCUAAUGCCCUAUAUUCCUCUAAUACAUAAGUAUGCAAGGGAAACGCUUUAGUGCUUAAGGAUGGGUCUGUAUGGUAUCAGCUUGUUGGUGAGGUAAUGGCUCACCAAGGCUAUGACGCCUAACUGGUUUGAGAGGAUGAUCAGUCACACUGGAACUGAGACACGGUCCAGACUCCUACGGGAGGCAGCAGUGGGGAAUAUUGCACAAUGGACGAAAGUCUGAUGCAGCAACGCCGCGUGGAGGAUGACACAUUUCGGUGCGUAAACUCCUUUUAUAUAGGAAGAUAAUGACGGUACUAUAUGAAUAAGCACCGGCUAACUCCGUGCCAGCAGCCGCCGUAA
This 485-nucleotide ribosomal RNA is filed under the name uncultured bacterium. Its description in RNAcentral is "partial 16S ribosomal RNA". It matches the Rfam family "Bacterial small subunit ribosomal RNA", at positions 29 to 523 of the family's 1533-position model. The record is from RNAcentral.